GAUGAACGCUGGCGGCGUGCCUAACACAUGCAAGUCGAAACGGACUUAAAUGAAACCUAGUGAUUUUAAGUUAGUGGCGGACGGGUGAGUAACGCGUGGGUAACCUGCCCUAUACCGGAGGAUAACACAUCGAAAGGUGUGCUAAUACUGCAUAAUGUAUAUCAUUCGCAUGUUUGAUAUAUCAAAGACUUAUUGCUUAAGGAUGGACUCGCGUCUGAUUAGUUAGUUGGUGAGGUAACGGCUCACCAAGACGAUGAUCAGUAGCCGACUUGAGAGAGUGAUCGGCCACAUUGGGACUGAGACACGGCCCAAACUCCUACGGGAGGCAGCAGUGGGGAAUAUUGCACAAUGGGGGAAACCCUGAUGCAGCGACGCCGCGUGAGCGAUGAAGUAUUUCGGUAUGUAAAGUUCUAUCAGCAGGGAAGAAAAUGACGGUACCUGACUAAGAAGCACCGGCUAAAUACGUG
Molecule: ribosomal RNA, 467 nt
Filed under: uncultured bacterium
Lineage: Bacteria
Description: bacterial SSU rRNA
Rfam family: Bacterial small subunit ribosomal RNA
Source: RNAcentral